CACGGAGGAUGCGAGCGUUAUCCGGAUUUAUUGGGUUUAAAGGGUGCGUAGGCGGACUGUCAAGUCAGCGGUAAAAUUGAGAGGCUCAACCUCUUCCCGCCGUUGAAACUGGUGGUCUUGAGUGGAUGAGAAGUACGCGGAAUGCGUGGUGUAGCGGUGAAAUGCAUAGAUAUCACGCAGAACCCCGAUUGCGAAGGCAGCAUGCCGGCUUCCUACUGACGCUGAAGCACGAAAGCGUGGGGAUCGAACAGG
This 252-nucleotide ribosomal RNA is filed under the name uncultured bacterium. Its description in RNAcentral is "partial 16S ribosomal RNA". It matches the Rfam family "Bacterial small subunit ribosomal RNA", at positions 524 to 776 of the family's 1533-position model. The record is from RNAcentral.